GCACCUGUAGCUCAAUUGGAUAGAGCGCCAGCCUACGAAGCUGUAGGUUGGGGGUUCGACUCCCCCCGGGUGCA
Molecule: transfer RNA, 74 nt
Filed under: Bacteroidota bacterium
Lineage: Bacteria; Pseudomonadati; Bacteroidota
Description: Bacteroidetes bacterium (wastewater metagenome) tRNA-Arg
Rfam family: tRNA
About the family: Transfer RNA (tRNA) molecules are approximately 80 nucleotides in length. Their secondary structure includes four short double-helical elements and three loops (D, anti-codon, and T loops).
Source: RNAcentral